CAUUGAAGUGAUGAUACCUUCUUCUGACUUUAAUGGAUGUGGAUUUAUUGAAUCAGACUACAAUUAUCUGAUCAAUG
Molecule: small nucleolar RNA, 77 nt
Filed under: Phaseolus vulgaris (common bean)
Lineage: Eukaryota; Viridiplantae; Streptophyta; Magnoliopsida; Fabales; Fabaceae
Description: snoRNA snoZ155
Rfam family: Small nucleolar RNA Z155
About the family: Z155 is a member of the C/D class of snoRNA which contain the C (UGAUGA) and D (CUGA) box motifs. Most of the members of the box C/D family function in directing site-specific 2'-O-methylation of substrate RNAs.
Source: Rfam by way of RNAcentral